Molecule: microRNA precursor, 82 nt
Filed under: Bombyx mori (domestic silkworm)
Lineage: Eukaryota; Metazoa; Arthropoda; Insecta; Lepidoptera; Bombycidae
Description: mir-2807 microRNA precursor family
Rfam family: mir-2807 microRNA precursor family
Source: Rfam by way of RNAcentral
UCAACUCAAAUUUGUACGAAGCCGGAAAGUUUGCUUACGUUUGUCGCUAGGGGCGCUGUUCCAACUGCAUACAAAUAAAAAA